Molecule: ribosomal RNA, 253 nt
Filed under: uncultured bacterium
Lineage: Bacteria
Description: partial 16S ribosomal RNA
Rfam family: Bacterial small subunit ribosomal RNA
Source: RNAcentral
UACGAAGGGGGCUAGCGUUGUUCGGAAUUACUGGGCGUAAAGGGCGCGUAGGCGGCCUUUCAAGUCAGGCGUGAAAAUCCUGGGCUUAACCUAGGGACUGCGCUUGAUACUGGAAGGCUAGAAUUCGGGAGAGGAUGGCGGAAUUCCCAGUGUAGAGGUGAAAUUCGUAGAUAUUGGGAAGAACACCGGUAGCGAAGGCGGCCAUCUGGACCGACAUUGACGCUGAGGCGCGAAAGCGUGGGGAGCAAACAGG